Long non-coding RNA from Ictalurus punctatus (channel catfish), 435 nucleotides. RefSeq lists it as uncharacterized. The record is from RefSeq and is a predicted model, not a curated record. The transcript is spliced from 3 exons. Lineage: Eukaryota; Metazoa; Chordata; Actinopteri; Siluriformes; Ictaluridae.
GCCAGUUUGUACAUUUUAAAGCAGGGAAUUGCAAAUCAAUGUCAAGCACUGUGCUACACAGGCUUUGUUCUGGCUGGGGGUAGAACUAAUUUCUGGGCUGUAAAACUGGAUUUUCUGGUAGAGAGCAGAAUUCAUGUUUCCCUCAAUUACUGCAAGCUGCCCAGGCCCUGAAGCCGCAAAUCAUCCCCACACCACCACACUUCCACCACCAUGCUUGACCGUAGCUGUAUUUAGUGUCAAUAUCCCUGCAUGCUGGUUAUCGGAUGUUAUCAGAUGACCCUGAGAACACAGGCAGCUUCAGUGGUGUAGCCAGCAAAAGAGAGCGAAGAACAGCUUUUUCCAGUUUGUAGCUGACUGUUUUCACUUCACAAUCAAGCAUCGAAUUACAAUCGCUCUACUCCAAUGACUCCACUGUGAGUGCUGCAUUGUCUCAAA